This 301-nucleotide ribosomal RNA is filed under the name uncultured bacterium. Its description in RNAcentral is "partial 16S ribosomal RNA". It matches the Rfam family "Bacterial small subunit ribosomal RNA", at positions 509 to 809 of the family's 1533-position model. The record is from RNAcentral.
CAGCCGCCACGGUAAUACAGAGGGCGCAAGCGUUAAUCGGAAUUACUGGGCGUAAAGCGCACGCAGGCGGUUUGUUAAGUCAGAUGUGAAAUCCCCGAGCUUAACUUGGGAACUGCAUUUGAAACUGGCAAGCUAGAGUCUUGUAGAGGGGGGUAGAAUUCCAGGUGUAGCGGUGAAAUGCGUAGAGAUCUGGAGGAAUACCGGUGGCGAAGGCGGCCCCCUGGACAAAGACUGACGCUCAGGUGCGAAAGCGUGGGGAGCAAACAGGAUUAGAUACCCGCGUAGUCCCUGUCUCUUAUAA